CGCUCAUCCAGAGGGGCAGAGGGACACGGCCCGUUGAAGCCCCGGCAACCCUCCAGUCGGUUCUCGCUCGCGCGGGGCCCCGGCUAGGGAAGGUGCCAAUUCCGUCUCAUGGCGAAGUGCGCCAUGGGGAAGAUGAGGA
Molecule: non-coding RNA, 139 nt
Filed under: Streptomyces sp.
Lineage: Bacteria; Bacillati; Actinomycetota; Actinomycetes; Kitasatosporales; Streptomycetaceae
Also listed under: 1 other name
Description: SAM-I sequence
Rfam family: SAM riboswitch aptamer (S box leader)
About the family: The SAM riboswitch is found upstream of a number of genes which code for proteins involved in methionine or cysteine biosynthesis in Gram-positive bacteria. The SAM riboswitch acts at the level of transcription termination control. The predicted structure consists of a complex stem-loop region followed by a single stem loop terminator region.
Source: RNAcentral